This 550-nucleotide ribosomal RNA is filed under the name uncultured bacterium. RNAcentral's name for it is "bacterial SSU rRNA". It matches the Rfam family "Bacterial small subunit ribosomal RNA", at positions 355 to 896 of the family's 1533-position model. The record is from RNAcentral.
UAGGGAAUCUUCGGCAAUGGACGGAAGUCUGACCGAGCAACGCCGCGUGAGUGAAGAAGGUUUUCGGAUCGUAAAGCUCUGUUGUAAGUCAAGAACGAGUGUGAGAGUGGAAAGUUCACACUGUGACGGUAUCUUACCAGAAAGGGACGGCUAACUACGUGCCAGCAGCCGCGGUAAUACGUAGGUCCCGAGCGUUGUCCGGAUUUAUUGGGCGUAAAGCGAGCGCAGGCGGUUAGAUAAGUCUGAAGUUAAAGGCUGUGGCUUAACCAUAGUAGGCUUUGGAAACUGUUUAACUUGAGUGCAAGAGGGGAGAGUGGAAUUCCAUGUGUAGCGGUGAAAUGCGUAGAUAUAUGGAGGAACACCGGUGGCGAAAGCGGCUCUCUGGCUUGUAACUGACGCUGAGGCUCGAAAGCGUGGGGAGCAAACAGGAUUAGAUACCCUGGUAGUCCACGCUGUAAACGAUGAGUGCUAGGUGUUAGACCCUUUCCGGGGUUUAGUGCCGUAGCUAACGCAUUAAGCACUCCGCCUGGGGAGUGCGACCGCAAGGUUG